AUCUGUUUAGAGUUGUGGUUAGUGCGCUCGGCUGUGGAUCCCGGCGACCUGGGUUCGAUUCCCCCUACCAGAUG
Molecule: transfer RNA, 74 nt
Filed under: Dallia pectoralis (Alaska blackfish)
Lineage: Eukaryota; Metazoa; Chordata; Actinopteri; Esociformes; Umbridae
Description: tRNA-OTHER
Source: RNAcentral